RNAcentral lists this ribosomal RNA (378 nucleotides) under uncultured eukaryote. RNAcentral describes it as "partial 18S ribosomal RNA". It matches the Rfam family "Eukaryotic small subunit ribosomal RNA", at positions 592 to 976 of the family's 1831-position model. The record is from RNAcentral.
CAAUAGCGUAUAUUAAAGUUGUUGCAGUUAAAAAGCUCGUAGUUGGAUUUGUGGUUCGUCCCGCCGGCUGGGUCAUUGACCUUUGCUGUGCUGGUCGUCCAUCCUUGGGUGGAAUCUGUGUGGCAUUAGGUUGUCGCGCAGGGGAUGCCCAUCGUUUACUGUGAAAAAAUUAGAGUGUUCAAAGCAGGCUUAUGCCGUUGAAUAUAUUAGCAUGGAAUAAUGAUAUAGGACCUUGGUACUAUUUUGUUGGUUUGCGCACUGAGGUAAUGAUUAAUAGGGACAGUUGGGGGUAUUCGUAUUCCAUUGUAAGAGGUGAAAUUCUUGGAUUUUUGGAAGACGAACUACUGCGAAAGCAUUUACCAAGGAUGUUUUCAUUAA